UACGGGAGGCAGCAGUGGGGAAUAUUGCACAAUGGGCGAAAGCCUGAUGCAGCUAUGCCGCGUGUAUGAAGAAGGCCUUAGGGUUGUAAAGUACUUUCAUCGGGGAGGAAAAAACAAAACUAAUAAUUUUAUUUCUUGACGUUACCCGAAAAAGAAGCACCGGCUAACUCCGUGCCAGCAGCCGCGGUAAUACGGAGGGUGCUAGCGUUAAUCAGAAUUACUGGGCGUAAAGAGCACGUAGGUGGUUUUUUUAAGUCAGAUGUGAAAAUCCCUGGGCUUAACCUGGAACUGCAUUUUUGAAACUGAAAUACUAGAGUAUCGUAGAGGGAGGUAGAAUUCUAGGUGUAGCGGUGAAAUGCGUAGAUAUCUGGAGGAAUACCUGUGGCGAAAGCGGCCUCCUAAACGAAUACUGACACUGAGGUGCGAAAGCUGGGGAGCAAACAGGGAUUAGAUACC
Molecule: ribosomal RNA, 456 nt
Filed under: uncultured bacterium
Lineage: Bacteria
Description: bacterial SSU rRNA
Rfam family: Bacterial small subunit ribosomal RNA
Source: RNAcentral